Non-coding RNA from Aspergillus avenaceus, 119 nucleotides. The record is from the annotation of a GenBank genome assembly. Lineage: Eukaryota; Fungi; Ascomycota; Eurotiomycetes; Eurotiales; Aspergillaceae.
GGCAAGAUGACCGAGCGGUUAAGGUGCGCGACUCAAGUUGCUUCAUUGUAACUUCUUCUAGACAACUAGAGCCUCUUCGCGUGUCGCAAGACGCGUGGGUUCGAAUCCCACUCUUGUCA